RNAcentral lists this ribosomal RNA (568 nucleotides) under uncultured bacterium. RNAcentral describes it as "partial 16S ribosomal RNA". It matches the Rfam family "Bacterial small subunit ribosomal RNA", at positions 355 to 912 of the family's 1533-position model. The record is from RNAcentral.
UGGGGAAUAUUGCACAAUGGGCGCAAGCCUGAUGCAGCCAUGCCGCGUGUGUGAAGAAGGCCUUCGGGUUGUAAAGCACUUUCAGCGAGGAGGAAGGUGGUGAGCUUAAUACGCUCAUCAAUUGACGUUACUCGCAGAAGAAGCACCGGCUAACUCCGUGCCAGCAGCCGCGGUAAUACGGAGGGUGCAAGCGUUAAUCGGAAUUACUGGGCGUAAAGCGCACGCAGGCGGUUUGUUAAGUCAGAUGUGAAAUCCCCGGGCUCAACCUGGGAACUGCAUUUGAAACUGGCAAGCUAGAGUCUCGUAGAGGGGGGUAGAAUUCCAGGUGUAGCGGUGAAAUGCGUAGAGAUCUGGAGGAAUACCGGUGGCGAAGGCGGCCCCCUGGACGAAGACUGACGCUCAGGUGCGAAGGCGUGGGGCAGCAAACAGGAUUAGAUACCCUGGUAGUCCACGCUGUAAACGAUGUCGAUUUUGGAGGUUGUGCCCCUUGAGGCGUGGCUUCCGGAGCUAACGCGUUAAAUCGACCGCCUGGGGAGUACGGCCGCAAGGUUAAAACUCAAAUGAAUUG